UACACUCCUACGGGAGGCAGCAGUGGGGAAUAUUGCACAAUGGGCGCAAGCCUGAUGCAGCCAUGCCGCGUGUAUGAAGAAGGCCUUCGGGUUGUAAAGUACUUUCAGCGGGGAGGAAGGCAAUACGGUUAAUAACCGUGUUGAUUGACGUUACCCGCAGAAGAAGCACCGGCUAACUCCGUGCCAGCAGCCGCGGUAAUACGGAGGGUGCAAGCGUUAAUCGGAAUUACUGGGCGUAAAGCGCACGCAGGCGGUCUGUCAAGUCGGAUGUGAAAUCCCCGGGCUCAACCUGGGAACUGCAUUCGAAACUGGCAGGCUUGAGUCUUGUAGAGGGGGGUAGAAUUCCAGGUGUAGCGGUGAAAUGCGUAGAGAUCUGGAGGAAUACCGGUGGCGAAGGCGGCCCCCUGGACAAAGACUGACGCUCAGGUGCGAAAGCGUGGGGAGCAAACAGGAUUAGAAACCCUGGUAGUCCCAUGA
RNAcentral lists this ribosomal RNA (477 nucleotides) under uncultured organism. Its description in RNAcentral is "partial 16S ribosomal RNA". It matches the Rfam family "Bacterial small subunit ribosomal RNA", at positions 332 to 800 of the family's 1533-position model. The record is from RNAcentral.